UACAGAGGGUGCAAGCGUUAAUCGGAUUUACUGGGCGUAAAGCGUGCGUAGGCGGUUCAGUAUGUCGGUCGUGAAAUCCCCGGGCUUAACCUGGGAACUGCGGCCGAAACUGCUGGGCUUGAGUGUGGUAGAGGAAGGUGGAAUUCCAGGUGUAGCGGUGAAAUGCGUAGAUAUCUGGAGGAACACCGAUGGCGAAGGCAGCCUUCUGGGCCACAACUGACGCUGAGGUACGAAAGCGUGGGUAGCAAACAGG
Molecule: ribosomal RNA, 253 nt
Filed under: uncultured bacterium
Lineage: Bacteria
Also listed under: 1 other name
Description: partial 16S ribosomal RNA
Rfam family: Bacterial small subunit ribosomal RNA
Source: RNAcentral